AGGGGUUUUGGGAUGGGGAAGUGAAGGGGAUAUUUAAUGUACCGCCGUUAUCGCCGUUAUCGCCGCACCCUUCGAUGGGAUAUUCUAGGCUCAUGGUUGUGUGAGAAGAAAGGGUAGCGUUGACUAUUCGUUGGGAUAUGUACUUUCUAAAUUGGGAAAGAUCGAUCAGAAGGCCAAGGAAAAAAAAAAUCCGGCGGCGUACAGAGUCUCAGAUGAUGUAGAAAUUAGGAAAUUUAGGGGUAAGAAUCAGCUGUAUGUGUAUAUAUAGUAGGAUAGUAUGGCGCAACGAGCAACUGUGAUUGCAUUUGUUGUGAACUUCUAAGAUUGCGAGAUUGUGUUUGUUCUUUCAUUUAAUUCAUAUAUUGGCAUCAACGUUUUUUCAUUCA
Molecule: unclassified non-coding RNA, 386 nt
Filed under: Hevea brasiliensis (rubber tree)
Lineage: Eukaryota; Viridiplantae; Streptophyta; Magnoliopsida; Malpighiales; Euphorbiaceae
Source: RNAcentral